AACGAACGCUGGCGGCAGGCCUAACACAUGCAAGUCGAGCGAGGACUUCGGUCCUAGCGGCGGACGGGUGAGUAACGCGUGGGAACGUGCCCUUUGCUUCGGAAUAGCCCUGGGAAACUGGGAGUAAUACCGGAUGAGCCCUUUGGGGGAAAGAUUUAUCGGCGAAGGAUCGGCCCGCGUUGGAUUAGGUAGUUGGUGGGGUAAUGGCCUACCAAGCCGACGAUCCAUAGCUGGUUUGAGAGGAUGAUCAGCCACACUGGGACUGAGACACGGCCCAGACUCCUACGGGAGGCAGCAGUGGGGAAUCUUAGACAAUGGGGGAAACCCUGAUCUAGCCUUGCCGCGUGAGCGAUGAAGGCCUUAGGGUUGUAAAGCUCUUUCAGCUGGGAAGAUAAUGACGGUACCAGCAGAAGAAGCCCCGGCUAACUCCGUG
RNAcentral lists this ribosomal RNA (433 nucleotides) under uncultured bacterium. RNAcentral describes it as "partial 16S ribosomal RNA". It matches the Rfam family "Bacterial small subunit ribosomal RNA", at positions 29 to 507 of the family's 1533-position model. The record is from RNAcentral.